RNA transcript from Tribolium castaneum (red flour beetle), 1186 nucleotides. RefSeq lists it as uncharacterized. The record is from RefSeq and is a predicted model, not a curated record. Lineage: Eukaryota; Metazoa; Arthropoda; Insecta; Coleoptera; Tenebrionidae. The transcript is spliced from 3 exons.
UGGAGGAAAAACAUUGGAACACGUGUUAACUAUGCUACUGUGUUGUACGGAGUUAUACGCUGUGGUUAUACGUGUUUUGUUCUAAAGUUUGAAGUAUUAUGGAGUUAUCUGAAUACGCACAAGGUUUAGAAACAAUUGUUAGAAAUCGAUACAUCGAUAAGGUUAAUGUUAUUGGGGUAGAUCCAUAUUUAAUUCAUCCCCAAACUUGUUCUCAAGAUGUGGAGAAUUUUCCCAAAAUAGAAUUCCCUGACAUCGUUAUGUACUUAGUGGAUACAAAAAGUGCUUAUACUAUGCAACAAUUAAAAGGAUACAAGGGAUUGGAUGCAUAUAAAUAUGCUACUUGUGGCUGGGUUAAACAGGUGGCUGUGAAGGUCUUUGGGUCUUAUGUCGUAGUCUUGGGAAAGGUACUUCAUUCCCAACGAUUAAAUGAACCUAUGUUGCAACCAUGGAUCAUUGCUGAAAAAGAGGGCAAUAUAUGCUCUGCCCAUUGCACGUGCAUCGCAGGUUUGGGGGAGGUAUGUACUCACGUUGGGGCCCUUCUUUUUACUGUGGAAUUAAACGUCCGGGAUUUGGAAGAGACUACAGUAACAGGAAAGAAGGCCUAUUGGAUGCCUCCUUCAGGAAAACCUGCUCAACCACAAAGAGUCUCAAAUAUAGAUUUUUCGGUACCAAAAAAAAGAUUGCCCCGGGACGAACCACUCACUGUUCGUGAUAAAGGUCAAGAAAACAUUCCAUCAUUAUCCCGAACAGAGAGACAAGAACUUUUAAAUUUAUUUGCGUCCACUUCGCAAGGAUCCGCAGCGCAUUUAAUUACUAAUCCAUUUGCCCAAAGUAAAAAAGAAGAGAGGGACCAAAAAAAGAAGCAUUGGAUUACAACUUUAUUCAGUGAAGAUCACAUUCAUAAAAGCUUGUGAGCUGCAGGAAUUAGGUGCGUCUUUGGAUUUUUCUAUACCAGUUGCUGAUUGUAAGGAGAUUCACAAUACGAUUAAAGAACAAGCGAAGUGUAAAGAUUGGUUUUACUAUAGAGCUGGAAGGAUUACAGCGUCCAAAUUCAAAAGUUGUUGCCGAACAAAUAUCGCGAAUCCCUCUUUACCUUUACUCAAGUCUGUGUGUUAUCCAAUGACAUACAGUUUUAAAACAAGAGCAGUGGAUUAUGGAUGCACCCACGAAAGACGUGCAAUUCAAG